Molecule: ribosomal RNA, 433 nt
Filed under: uncultured bacterium
Lineage: Bacteria
Description: partial 16S ribosomal RNA
Rfam family: Bacterial small subunit ribosomal RNA
Source: RNAcentral
ACCGAACGCUGGCGGCAUGCCUAACACAUGCAAGUCGAACGAGACCUUCGGGUCUAGUGGCGCACGGGUGCGUAACGCGUGGGAACCUGCCCUUAGGUUCGGAAUAACUCCCCGAAAGGGGUGCUAAUACCGGAUAAUGUCUUCGGACCAAAGAUUUAUCGCCUUUGGAUGGGCCCGCGUUGGAUUAGCUAGUUGGUAGGGUAAAAGCCUACCAAGGCGACGAUCCAUAGCUGGUCUGAGAGGAUGAUCAGCCACACUGGGACUGAGACACGGCCCAGACUCCUACGGGAGGCAGCAGUAGGGAAUAUUGGACGAUGGGCGAAAGCCUGAUCCAGCAAUGCCGCGUGAGUGAUGAAGGCCUUAGGGUUGUAAAGCUCUUUUACCCGGGAUGAUAAUGACAGUACCGGGAGAAUAAGCUCCGGCUAACUCCGUG